RNAcentral lists this ribosomal RNA (274 nucleotides) under uncultured bacterium. RNAcentral's name for it is "partial 16S ribosomal RNA". It matches the Rfam family "Bacterial small subunit ribosomal RNA", at positions 523 to 796 of the family's 1533-position model. The record is from RNAcentral.
AUACGUAGGAACCAAGCGUUGUCCGGAAUUACUGGGUGUAAAGGGUGCGCAGGCGGAUUUGUGCGUCAAGGGUUAAAUACCUCGGCUCAACCGAGGAAAUGCCUUUGAUACGGCAAGUCUUGAGUACGAGAGAGGAUGGUAGAAUUCCUGGUGUAGCGGUGAAAUGCGUAGAUAUCAGGAGGAAUACCCGUGGCGAAGGCGGCCAUCUGGCUCGUUACUGACGCUCAGGCACGAAAGCGUGGGGAGCAAACAGGAUUAGAAACCCUAGUAGUCC